AUGGCCUCCGCCGAAAUCCCCAACGCCGACACCGCGGACCCCAACCCUAGCCCCAACCCCGCCGCCCGUUCGCCGUCACCUCCGCUCCCGCCGCGCAAGCGCCGCCUCUCCCUCUCCCCUUCACGGUCCACCUCCCCCAGGCGCUCCGUGUCUCGCUCCCGCUCCCCCCGCGACCGCCGUAGCCGCAGCCGCAGCCGGAGCCGUAGCCGCAGCCGCAGCCGUAGCCGCAGUCGCAGUCGGAGCCGUAGUCCGCGCCAGCCCGAAGGCAAGCGGCGGCGGCAAAACGACCUCACCGUCGAGGCGUGCCGCGACUACCUGCGCGACAGGUGCACCCGCUCCGACCUCGAGUGCAAGUAUGCGCACCCGCACCAAUCCGUUUCCGUCGACCGGGACUCCAAGGUGACCGCAUGCGCCGAUUCGCUGAGGAACAACUGCUUCCGGGGCAGAACCUGCCGCUACUACCACCCGCCUCCUCAUAUACAGGAGUCCUUGCUGAGAUCAAUUGGUUUGGACGUCCCACCGGUGAAGACGGUUUGCAGAGAUUUCGCACGUGGGCGAUGUUCAAGAUCAGCAAACGAGUGCCGCUUCUUGCACCAUUCAUCUGUUCAAGAGUGUGCAAUUGUUUGCCAAGAUUUCUUGCGUGGGAGGUGUGACCGUAUAUCAUGUAGGUACACUCAUGUUAUAGCACAACCAAUGCUACCCCCACCAAUGAGGGAUGUUCCCAUGCAAAUGCCAUAUCCUGAGAUGGUUUACAUGCCACCACCACCACCACCACUGGGAGUACCUAUGAUGGCUCCUCCUCUCUCGCCUCCUAGAGGUUUUGCUGAUAACAAGAGCACAGUGGAAGUUUGCAGGGACUACUUGAAGAAAAUGUGCAAUAGAGAAUCAUGUAGAUUUGCACACCCUGAUUCACAAACUGAGGUGGCACAUGACAAGGUUGAAGUUUGCCGUGAUUUUAAACGAGGAGAAUGCACUCGACCUACAUGCCGCUUUUACCACCCAUCCUCAAGCUGA
RNAcentral lists this ribosomal RNA (1014 nucleotides) under Triticum aestivum (bread wheat). RNAcentral's name for it is "partial small subunit ribosomal RNA". The record is from RNAcentral. Lineage: Eukaryota; Viridiplantae; Streptophyta; Magnoliopsida; Poales; Poaceae.